This 484-nucleotide ribosomal RNA is filed under the name uncultured bacterium. RNAcentral describes it as "partial 16S ribosomal RNA". It matches the Rfam family "Bacterial small subunit ribosomal RNA", at positions 30 to 507 of the family's 1533-position model. The record is from RNAcentral.
AUUGAACGCUGGCGGCAGGCCUAACACAUGCAAGUCGAGCGGAUGAAGGGAGCUUGCUCCUGGAUUCAGCGGCGGACGGGCGAGUAAUGCCUAGGAAUCUGCCUGGUAGUGGGGGAUAACGUCCGGAAACGGGCGCUAAUACCGCAUACGUCCAGAGGGAGAAAGUGGGGGAUCUUCGGACCUCACGCUAUCAGAUGAGCCUAGGUCGGAUUAGCUAGUUGGUGGGGUAAAGGCCUACCAAGGCGACGAUCCGUAACUGGUCUGAGAGGAUGAUCAGUCACACCGGAACUGAGACACGGUCCAGACUCCUACGGGAGGCAGCAGUGGGGAAUAUUGGACAAUGGGCGAAAGCCUGAUCCAGCCAUGCCGCGUGUGUGAAGAAGGUCUUCGGAUUGUAAAGCACUUUAAGUUGGGAAGAAGGGCAGUAAGUUAAUACCUUGCUGUUUUGACGGUACCAACAGAAUAAGCACCGGCUAACUUCGUG